UAAUGUUCGUUGGAGUUCAGUAUAAUUACUUAUUCAUUUUCUGUUCGCCUUAAACUAUAUAUAGUUCACGUACGUGGUUUUUUCCAUUUUAGGAGGAAAAAAUGCAAUAAAAAAAUCAUAGGCAUACGACCCAUGAUGAGGCAGCUGGAAGCAAGCCCAAAGCAUAAGCCCUACAAAUUUUUUUUGUGUCUUUAGUAUACUGGAGUUGAAAGCAGGAAAAAAAAAAACGAAAUAGCAAGAUUUACAGUUGGCUUAAUUGAAAAAUAAUUACAGUUUUAAAGUAAUCAAAAUUUAGCAUUUUUUUUUUUACGUAAAGACAAUUUGAACCAAAACAACCUUAAAUAUUAGAAAAUUUCCACCACAAUAUGUUGGAGUUCGAAUUGUUUGUUUUGUUUUUACGUAUGAUGAGUUCCAGCAUAAAGUAUUAGAGUUUAUUAUGCUGGAGUUCCGACAUAAUCUGUUGUAAGUUUGUAUGCACGUGCUCCAUAAUUCAACAUACUAUGCUGAAAAUUUUCGUGUGCUAAAAUUCCAACAUAAUAUGAUGUAAUUUUAUAUGUAAAAACUCCAUAAUCCAGCAUAUUAUGCUACAAAUUUUCAUGUUUUAGCAAAAUAAUUGCUAUUUUUCAAUGAUAUUGCAAAUACUUGCUAUUUUUUAAUUAGCAGUCCGAAAACUGAAUAUCCCGUAUUUUUUUACCAGAAAACAUGAUAAAAUAUGAUAACAGAAAUUAGAUAGAUAUGUUUUUACAAAAUUAUAACAAAAUACGCACAUAAUCUUAUUAUAAGGCACCUAAGCUUGUUAGCGGGACUGGAACAGCCCACGACCGGCCCAGGUCAGCCUUGUAAAAAUCUGAACCGGAAUAGCGUCAUUGGCCCAAGGGAAAUAGUAUGAUAUAGUCAGUUUUUUGAUUAAUCAAAAAUAGCCAGUGUUUAUCAAAUCAAUGAAAAAUAGCAAUUAGUUUGCUGCAACAGAGAUUGGUUCCGUAUAAUAUAUGUGAGUUUUGGUGCAUUUGUGCACAAACUCCAGCAUAUUAUGCUGGACCGGUAUACUUUGCUAACUCUUGUAUAAUAUACGGGAGACUGGUGCACCAGUGCUUCAAACUCCACUAUAUUAUACUGGACAUUUAUACUUGCUGGAACUCUCGUAUAUUAUGCGGGAGUUCUAGCAUAAUUAACUUGAACUCUCGCAUAUUAUAUGGAAGUUCCAAUAUAGUUAUCCUGGAAUUCCCGUAGAAUAUGCGGGAGUUGAAUCAUAUUUAUGCUGGAACUCCCGUAUAAUAUGCGGGCGUAUUUUUCGGAUUUUGAACAGUAUUUUCGCUCAUAUUUAUCUUUAUAUAAAAGUGACAAAUUUCGAUAACUUUUGAAACUUGACUAUUUUUUAACGAUCAGUUAUAAAUCUGGCUAUUUUUAAAUUUCUCCCUUGCGUAUGGGUAUCGAGGAGAGGGUUAGGCCGAACAAGGCACCGGACCUGAUAGACCAGCCCAGGUGCUAGUUGGGGUCUCGUUCCACUGCGGCACUGGAUCACCUGUAAGGCGUUUCGGCCUAGCCAAUUAUGAGAAAAAUUAUUAUAUUUCUACUCAAUUUACAAGUUCUCCUAAAUUGGUAUAAAUAAAAUUGUACAUCCCCAAGUUAAAAAUUCCAAUCGAGAGCUUUCAUCAACAUAUCCCCCAAAAAUCAAGCAUAAGUCUUGUCAGCCUUCUUGUGGUGAGCCAAUUUAUACCAAAAAAUUUCCUCUAGUGAUUUUGUUGAAAAAGAUUAGGAUUGCACAUUUUGCUUCAAGAAACGGGAAAACAAUAGAAAAUUCAUUCUCUUUACCUGCUCUCAUGUAGUGCACUUAAUACAGGAUUUGUUGGUAGCAUCAAUAGAUACUUCAACAGCGGCAAUUGAAUGGGUUUUAUCAGAACUUUUUAGGCAUCCUGAUAUGAUGAAAAAACUUCAAAAUGAGUUGGAACAUGUAGUUGGUAGAAAGAGAAUGGUGGAAGAAUCAGACUUAGAAAACUUACCAUAUUUAGAUAUGGUCAUAAAAGAAGGCUUUAGGUUGCAUCCAGUUGCCCCCUUAUUGCUUCCCCACGAGUCCACUGAAGAUUGCAUAGUUAAUGGGUUUCACAUACCUAAAGGAUCCCGGCUUUUGGUUAAUGUUUGGGCAAUAGGGAGAGAUUCAGACACUUGGCCGGAGCCAGAAAAGUUCAAACCUGAAAGGUUUCAAGGAAGCAACAUCGAUCUACGAGGACAAAAUUUUCAACUUUUACCAUUUGGUGCUGGUAGAAGAAGUUGCCUUGGUUUG
RNAcentral lists this long non-coding RNA (2281 nucleotides) under Nicotiana benthamiana. RNAcentral's name for it is "long non-coding RNA (NBEN_LNC040851)". Lineage: Eukaryota; Viridiplantae; Streptophyta; Magnoliopsida; Solanales; Solanaceae. The record is from RNAcentral.